Molecule: ribosomal RNA, 651 nt
Filed under: uncultured Veillonellaceae bacterium
Lineage: Bacteria; Bacillati; Bacillota; Negativicutes; Veillonellales; Veillonellaceae
Description: bacterial SSU rRNA
Rfam family: Bacterial small subunit ribosomal RNA
Source: RNAcentral
GAGUUUGAUCAUGGCUCAGGACGAACGCUGGCGGCGCGCCUAACACGUGCAAGUCGAACGGGGAAGUUAGCAAUAACUUUCUAGUGGCGAACGGGUGAGUAACGCGUAGACAACCAACCUUGUAAUGGGGACAACACUUCGAAAGGAGUGCUAAUACCGCAUAAGCUCUUCGGGUCACAUGGUCUGAAGAGGAAAGGAGCUGUAAGGCUCCGUUAUAAGACGGGUCUGCGUCUGAUUAGCUAGUUGGAGGGGUAACGGCCCACCAAGGCGACGAUCAGUAGCCGGUCUGAGAGGAUGAACGGCCACACUGGGACUGAGACACGGCCCAGACUCCUACGGGAGGCAGCAGUGGGGAAUCUUCCGCAAUGGACGAAAGUCUGACGGAGCGACGCCGCGUGAGUGAUGAAGGCCCUUGGGUCGUAAAGCUCUGUCAUUGGGGACGAACGAUCACAUCAGGAAAUGGGUGUGAAGUGACGGUACCCAAGAAGGAAGCCACGGCUAACUACGUGCCAGCAGCCGCGGUAAUACGUAGGUGGCAAGCGUUGUCCGGAAUUAUUGGGCGUAAAGCGCGCGCAGGUGGGAUCUUAAGUCUGUUCUGAAAGUUUGGAGCUUAUCUCCGUGAUGGGAUGGAAACUGGGAUUCUUGAGUAUC